UGCAAGUCGAGCGAGAGACCCUUCGGGGAAUCAAGCGGCGAACGGGUGAGUAACACGUAGGUAACCUGCCUUUUAGUUUGGGAUACCCGAUGGAAACGUCGGCUAAUACCGGAUACGUACUUUGGAGGCAUCUCCGAAGUAUAAAAGGGGCCUUAAAGCCUCGCUAAUAGAUGGACCUGCGGCGCAUUAGUUAGUUGGUGAGAUAACAGCCCACCAAGACGAGGAUGCGUAGCCGACCUGAGAGGGUGAUCGGCCACAUUGGGACUGAGACACGGCCCAGACUCC
Molecule: ribosomal RNA, 285 nt
Filed under: uncultured bacterium
Lineage: Bacteria
Description: partial 16S ribosomal RNA
Rfam family: Bacterial small subunit ribosomal RNA
Source: RNAcentral